CCAGACUCCUACGGGAGGCAGCAGUGGGGAAUAUUGCACAAUGGGGGAAACCCUGAUGCAGCAACGCCGCGUGAGUGAAGAAGUAUUUCGGUAUGUAAAGCUCUAUCAGCAGGGAAGAAAAUGACAGUACCUGACUAAGAAGCCCCGGCUAACUACGUGCCAGCAGCCGCGGUAAUACGUAGGGGGCAAGCGUUAUCCGGAUUUACUGGGUGUAAAGGGAGCGUAGACGGCUGCGCAAGUCAGAAGUGAAAGCCCGGGGCUCAACCGCGGGACUGCUUUUGAAACUGUGUAGCUAGAGUGCAGGAGAGGUAAGUGGAAUUCCUAGUGUAGCGGUGAAAUGCGUAGAUAUCAGGAGGAACACCGGUGGCGAAGGCGGCCUGCUGGACUGCGACUGACGUUGAGGCCCGAAAGCGUGGGGAGCAAACAGGAUUAGAUACCCGAGUACU
RNAcentral lists this ribosomal RNA (446 nucleotides) under uncultured bacterium. RNAcentral's name for it is "partial 16S ribosomal RNA". It matches the Rfam family "Bacterial small subunit ribosomal RNA", at positions 331 to 794 of the family's 1533-position model. The record is from RNAcentral.